RNAcentral lists this small nucleolar RNA (85 nucleotides) under Urocitellus parryii (Arctic ground squirrel). RNAcentral's name for it is "Small nucleolar RNA SNORA71 (ENSUPAG00010011718.1)". It matches the Rfam family "Small nucleolar RNA SNORA71", at positions 1 to 85 of the family's 134-position model. Rfam says of the family: The members of this family belong to the H/ACA class of snoRNAs which bind a number of proteins (including dyskerin, Gar1p and Nop10p) to form snoRNP complexes. The record is from RNAcentral. Lineage: Eukaryota; Metazoa; Chordata; Mammalia; Rodentia; Sciuridae.
CCCUGUAUUCGAAAGUGAUCAUGGGCUACCCGUGCCCUGGUCAUUGAUAGUGCAGGGAGAGGAAUUGCUGAAAGCGUUUCCCCGU